AUUGAACGUUGGCGGCAGGCUUAACACAUGCAAGUCGAGCGGGGUGAUGGUGCUUGCACUAUCACUUAGCGGCGGACGGGUGAGUAAUGCUUAGGAAUCUGCCUAUUAGUGGGGGACAACAUCUCGAAAGGGAUGCUAAUACCGCAUACGUCCUACGGGAGAAAGCAGGGGAUCACUUGUGACCUUGCGCUAAUAGAUGAGCCUAAGUCGGAUUAGCUAGUUGGUGGGGUAAAGGCCUACCAAGGCGACGAUCUGUAGCGGGUCUGAGAGGAUGAUCCGCCACACUGGGACUGAGACACGGCCCAGACUCCUACGGGAGGCAGCAGUGGGGAAUAUUGGACAAUGGGGGGAACCCUGAUCCAGCCAUGCCGCGUGUGUGAAGAAGGCCUUAUGGUUGUAAAGCACUUUAAGCGAGGAGGAGGCUCUUUUGGUCAAUACCCAAGAUGAGUGGACGUUACUCGCAGAAUAAGCACCGGCUAACUCUGUGCCAGCCGCCGCAGUAA
Molecule: ribosomal RNA, 503 nt
Filed under: uncultured bacterium
Lineage: Bacteria
Description: partial 16S ribosomal RNA
Rfam family: Bacterial small subunit ribosomal RNA
Source: RNAcentral